CAGCAGCCACGGUAAUACGAAGGGUGCAAGCGUUACUCGGAAUUACUGGGCGUAAAGCGCGCGUAGGCGGUUUGUUAAGUCUGUUGUGAAAUCCCCGGGCUCAACCUGGGAAUGGCAAUGGAUACUGGCAAGCUAGAGUGUGUCAGAGGAUGGUGGAAUUCCCGGUGUAGCGGUGAAAUGCGUAGAGAUCGGGAGGAACAUCAGUGGCGAAGGCGGCCAUCUGGGACAACACUGACGCUGAGGCACGAAAGCGUGGGGAGCAAACAGGAUUAGAUACCCGGGUAGUCCCUGUCUCUUAUAC
This 301-nucleotide ribosomal RNA is filed under the name uncultured bacterium. RNAcentral's name for it is "partial 16S ribosomal RNA". It matches the Rfam family "Bacterial small subunit ribosomal RNA", at positions 509 to 807 of the family's 1533-position model. The record is from RNAcentral.